ACUCCUGGUACAAACCAACACUGUGUGUUGCUGAAACUUAGCGGUGGAACUGAGCUGCAGAUAGGUUGGGUAUUUCUUCAGAAUGUGGUUAGGAAUAAGAGUGGAUGGAAAUGGUUUCCCUAUGUUGAGAAAACAAGUUGAGAGCUCUUGAAAAUUACAUUUUCAGGAACCACAGAUGUCAAACACUGAAUACUUCAACAUUCAUAUUUGUGGAGGAGUGCCUAAUCCAGAAAAAGUUCCAGUUCAUUUUCGGUUUAAGCUCCUGCUGAUGUACAAACAGCAUGUGCUGUAACUCAUUCCAAGCUAAGUGCUGAGGGCCAUCUGGUAGACGUAACUGACCAGGACAUAAUUCAAGAAAAAGAAGAAAGACACAGAAAAAAAACUAAAUUACAGAAGUUAUACAGGAAUGUGUGUUCUGGUGACCAAUCAUUGCAAGUUUUUUCUGCCCAAAUGAAAAGUACGCAAUAGGUAACUCUCUCUCUUCUUCCUAUGAAUUCUGGAGUGUCCCUAAAGGUCAUGGACUUCAAAUCUUAAAGAGCUGUUGUGACAACAGGCCAGUAAGGCUUGGAGAGUGGCAGCACAAGUGCAACUCCUUCAUCUACAAUAAGCAUCCCCAGUUGCUGUCCUCUGUCAACGUGGCACCGAACCAGUUCACUCCACAUGUAGAUCAAGUACAGAGCAGACCUUAAUACUGGAAAGUGAACCUCAGCUAAAAAAAAAAAAAAAAAAAAAAGAAAAAAAAGAAAAAAAGCAAACACAAGGCACCAUGUAAUCACUUCAGCUGCUCACUGGUGUAGUGAUGAGAUCCUCUGAACUAUUAUGGCUGCUUGGAUGCUCAGAAGAAAGAUGACUUUGAAGGUUUCUAAAACUGUGUCUUUCAUGGCAGACAGAUAUCAAAGCACCAUCUGGUCUAAGCAGAGGAAAAUACUGCUUGUCUUGGUUGCAGCUGGGGGGGAUCCUGGCCACAGAAAGGAGGACCAGAAACUUUCAAAGGUUAUGUACCUUGUGUGAAAGGUAGAACUCUCCAGGAGGCUUCUGCUGUCUUUGCCUUCAUCUUCCAUAGUAAAUCUGCACCAAAUGUGUGGUCUUAUUGGCACAUCAGCAUGCAGGGAAAUGAACCAUCGUAAUAGACUUCAAAAGUCUUCCUCCUCAGCUCAUGACAAGAAAUGGAUAAUUACCUGUCCAUUGGAUUAGAGCAGCCACCACGGAUCACUCAGGAAAGGCAAAUAACUUUCCUUUUACCUGUCCUUUUGUAUGGAUAUGCCCACUGCUCUGUCCAAGUUUCCUAUCACAUAGGACAAUAAAACUCUAAAUUACAAUAAGAUUAAGCAUAGAGUUUUCUGUUGAUGUUUGUCUUUUAACGUAUUACAAAAUGACUUAAGGUUUGAUUAUAUUAAUGUCAGAAAUUACUAUCAAACUUCUUGGUUUUCAUGGUAUCUUCAUUGUUGACAAAACAGUUCUAGUGAAGGUUUUCUAAAAUCUAAAUUCCCUGUGUUUACUUCUUCAUUUCAAAACUAAAUGGUACAAGCAUAUUCCUUUUAGCAUUUGCAUUCAUUCUGCGUUUAUUUAUAAUCUGCUGAGAACAAAAAAAAAAUCUCAGUGUGAUUUGCCUUAUCUUAAAUAGUGGACAAUGGAGCCAAAAUGUAAAACCAUCUAUUAGCAUGUCAGUCAGAGUGUUAUUGUACUCCCCCAAAAUAGUAUGUCUUUGAACAAGACUAUGAUUUAUGAUUCAGAAUCACAAAAGCUCUUUCUAAGCCAGUAAAGAAGACAUCUGGGAAGAGCACAUCUAAGCCUAUUCAAACCUUAGAGAUUUUACCCAUAUAUAAAUUCAAAUUAUCUGCUUUCAGCAUUGCAGUAGUGUUUCAGAAUGACAAAAGGAACUGAUCACUGGUGUACAACAGGCUGACUUAACCACAGGCUUCACUGGCAGUGUGCAAGAGAGGUUUUGUAAAUGUGGCGUUAAGAAUAACUGGUGGUUAUCUUGUAUUUAGUGUGAGCAAGAAAAUAAUUCAAGUAAAUAUAAAUGAUAGUUCUUAGAUGGCAGCUCCCUAUAAAUUUAUGUCUAAUAUUAAUAAUUAUACUUCUAAGAAAAUUAAGGAUCUGUCAAGGCUAUUGAAUUCAGAUUUAAGAAGAAGCUUUAAGAACAUUGGGGUUUGUCACAUACAGAAUAAGCAAAGGCAGCUGAAGGACCUUCACACACUGCAAGUCAAAGUGGUUGAAGCUGAAGCUGCAGAAGCCAGAGCAGGAAUGGAUGAUGACUAUCUAGUGUUCAUGCAGUCAUCAGAUUCUUGUAUAAAGUUUGGUGAUGUUAUUUUAAAUGCCUGCUUUGUGCUGAGUGUAAGAUCUGGAAUAAUAAUCGAUGAAAAAGGAUUCUGAUUCCAGCAUAUUUAAGGACAAAACUUUCAUUGACUUCAGUUGAGCAAGGAAAACAUCGAGUAAGUAUUUUUGCAUGUUGCUGCAAAUAUAGUGCAUAACAUAGGAACUACACAUUUUGAGAUGUAGGUCAGUAUAUUUGAACUUCUUGUCCCUCUUUUCUACCUGGCUGUGCCACAGAAUUCCUGUUCAUCCCUUUAACAUGCUUGCCAUACUGUCAUUAAAAAAAAAAAAAAAACAUGACAUGCUGUCAGACCAACUUCUGAAUUAGAGGGCAAGUAUUUUCUAGGAGGCGAAUUGGAAAACCUCACACUGAAUUUGUCAGUGUGAAAUGCUAAGUGCUAGCUAUUCUAUUAGCUUUGUAGAGGAUUUACCUGCGGAAUCCAAGUGCAUAGACAACUGUGCUAAGAAAUUUCAAACGUGAUCUUCAGCAUCGCUCUUGUGCAGGAGAUGGAGAACUGCCUUUCAGAAAUUGCUAUUUUCUGCACACACUGAAGUCUACCACCGGCUUCAAGUACAGGCAGGACUUUUCUCUGGAAGACGCAUUUCCAGUAGCAAAGAAUGAUGUAAUGGAUUUUUUAUGUGAGCAAAUGGACACUUAGUGCACAUAAUUAUAUUUCCUUAGUAUCAUUUGCCUAAGUUCAAAAUAUGUAAUUCAUUUAGUGUUUUAUAAAUUGUUGGUUUGGAGUUGUGCCUGAAAUUAGAACAAAAAUUCAAAUGACCAUAAAGUUAUUUUUUAAUAUGGAGGGCACAUAUAAAUUGAAGAAACCAAAUCAAGGCAUAAUUCAGGGUCAUUAUAAAUAGCAUCUUCACACUGAAAUGUGCUGAUAUAAAAAAAAAAUAAGUACAGGAUUAAAUAUACAGAAAAAUAAAGUGAACACUUGCAAUAAACCAAUUAAAUGUGAACUUGUUCAUAGGAAAAAAUAUUGUUUACCCUGUCCAGAGAUGGAUUUAAGAUCUACUGAUAAUUAGAAAAUCUUGCUAAUAUGACUAUAGGACAUUAAAAAUUCCUAUGCAGUAUUUCAUCAAAUGAUAGGAUGUGAAAUACAGGAAACUGCAUGCACUUUUCAUUCCUUUUAGUACCACGUGCUUCAGCAGUUUUUAGAUAUGCUGCCUUCUAGAAAGCUAUAUCUUCUGGAUGUCACUGGCCUUGCAAUAUUUCUGCUCUACUCUAGUUCUCCUGUAACAGAUUAGAUUUGGUAUUGAAACCCUUCCAGGUUAUUUGGAGUAUUUACACCUCUUGAACGAAAUGGAAAUUAACUUGUUACAUGAUCAAAAUUCAUCAGGACAACAAAUUACUAUAACGGAUACUCAGCUGUUCUGCUCUAGGUGUCCAUCCUUGGAGACUUCUGAUAUGUAGCUUAUGGGAAAUACUAACUUUAAAUGAAGAAGAAGAAAUUCAGUAUUGCACCAAAGGUUGUGUGUCAAGUAGUACACAUCCAGUAAGAGAGCUUGUUGCUAGGCUAAUAAGGGAAGUAGAGUCAGGUCAAUGAAAUGUUUAGAAGUUUUUAAAAGGCAUGUGGCUGUAGCCUUUCUUGUUAGACCCAAGUUUGCUUUAGCAAAAUACUGUAAUUUGCUGCAAUCUAAGGAUGCUCUUGCACUUCAAGUGUGUGCAGUGCAUUCAGAUGGCAUAAUAUAUAUCUGCUUUUCCUGCUUGCUACGUUCAGUACUCAAGGACACCUUUGAGAAAGGAUCAAUCAUUUUGUGCACGUCUGACAAAUUUCAGAAAGGUUUCCAGACUACUGCAGAGCCAUGUUGUUUCUUUUUUGUUCAUAUUUUCAGUUUACGACACGCAUAGAGCUUUGCCAUUAGAAUUAUCAGAACAAUACAAUUUAUCUAAUUUUAUUUACAAUUAUAUUCAGCAUUAUUAUAUAUAUUUGCACAAAUUGGUGACUAAAAUAGAGAUGGCCCUGAACUGAAAUGUUUAUUCCAAAUACUCUGAACCUUUUUAAAAGGGUGAAGUACAGAUUCAAGUUUGAUUUUUCUUAUGGUAAUCUAGGUAAGAGGUAAUUAUUUCUGCCAUAAUUACUGUUAGUCCCAAACUUCUAAGCGUGAUUUAACCCUGAAGUUUCCUCAGUAGUAAAGAUGUGCUUUCUGUCAUGGUGAAAUAUGAAUAUUGAUGAAAAUAGUGGUUCAGGAACAAUGACAGCUCUUUUUUAGUCGAAAUUUCCAUUCCAGAGACUUCUCAGCAAAGUUUCCAAAGCACGUAUCCAACUCCAGCCUAACACUCACAAAAAAGGAUGCAGUUGUUUGUGGCAGGUGGGCACUGCUCUAAGCUGGUUCUGCAAGAGAUUUCAAGGCAUUAAACAGGGCAUGGACAAGGGUCCGAGGGUCAUGGCCAUACCUCUGAUCUCCUGUUUGAGCAGGAGUGAGAUAAAGGCCAUUCCAAUAAGUACGUGGAGCCAGUUCUCUCUAUAGAUGAGAGGCAAGACAUGAAAAAUAGUCUCCAAGCACAGCAACCACAGUUGUUCCUGAGCUUUUUUGUUUUGAAGAAGGAUGGAUUUUUUUUCACCUGUGUGCUCUGUAUAAAUAUAUAUGUUUCAGGAACAGAUGACAACCCUGUGAAAUGAAAUAAUAUUUGUUUUUACUUCCUUGUUAUUUGUUAUUGAUAAGGGCUUUUAUUAUUUUUUUCUUGUUAAGGGGUAUUUCCAUUUGCAUUUAACUUCAGGCCAAAGCCAAGACCCAUUGAUGAGAAGGAAUGAUUUUGUAGGAUUCAGAGGCACCAGUUUUUUUUAAAUCUCUGAGAAAGCACCCCUUACAGAGAGUGUUCUGGACCCUUUAUGAUGUUACAUUGUGGUGAAUUUUAUAAUUGUCUCCUACUGCAUACGGUGCUAAUAAAUGACUCUCUACUAGGUAAAUACUUUUACUCCUAAAAUGUGGAUUACUGUAAGUGAUUCAGAAGUCCUAAUGAAUAGUUAUGCAUAAGGAAGUAAUUUUGGAAAUGAGUUUUUUGAGUGCAUGAAAACACAAAGAAGUGCCCCUUGCUUAGAAGGUGCUGAUGAGAUCAAACAAGUCCAACAGAAAAUGGAGCUCUUGGACUUGACAGGAAUAAUUUUGUUAAGUGUGAGCAGAUAUGACUGUCAAAAAGAGUAAGCAUCUAAAUAAGAGGCAUUUAAUCUUACUAUAAAACAGUGCUUGAAGGAUUUGCAAACAUUCAUCAAGUCCUUUUAGUAUGGGCAAGGAAUAUUUUAGGCUAGAUUGUGACUAUCCUUUCUGGCAGAAUUCAAUUUAUGAAUACAAAUGGCCUCUACCUAGAUGGCUAAUAGUAAAUAGGUUAGAGGAUGUCUUAGGAUCAGUAUUGAGACUAUGUGUCUGUGCACACACAGCUGGCAUGAAAAGAAAAUGAGGAAUGAGGAGGUCACAGGCUGCUUCUGGGUAUGAUGUUUCUUACAGCACUGGUUAAAUUUAAGUUUGACUGGUAUAAUUUCCUGGUUGAUAUACCACAGCUUAGGUCUGCAUUCUUAUGCAUUUCUUCCCCAGCUUCAUUUCUUUUAGAGAAUUUAUUUCUUGUCUGGGCUCAGUCCUUUUGCUCUCAGGCUUUCAGUAAGCCUCCUAUUUCACUUGCACUCUAAUUAAAAAAAUUCUUCAAUAUUUCAGGAGUCCUACGGUGUUUCUGCUGUCCUGUAAAACUUCAGGUGUGGGGAAAGCUGGAGUUUAUUUUCGGUUUGGGUUUUGGGGGUGUUUUUUUUUUUUCAGUAAAAAUGUAGGCCUUUGUUUCUGCAGUAUUUUUUGAAGUUUCCCCCAGAGUGUCUGAGAAAAAUCUUCCAAACAGCUUCUGGCUUCUGACUUUUCUUUUUCAGCUCUGCAUACAACACACAAAACUUCUCUCAUAUUUUUUUCCCUCUAUAGAAAGGCUUCACCCUUCAGAAAGGCUGCCUUUCCCUUCACUUGCUAUCUAGCUGUCUCAGACUCUCUUUUGUUUGAAGUAUUCAGGUAGGGCUGAGUGAAAUGUAUUUAUUUUUUCAUUUGCUUUCAGAUAAGACUGGAUUUUCUUGUGAUGCCUUGCAUUAAAAUUUGAGCUAUAAAUGAUGAUGAUGUCUACAUACCGAGUGCUGUGUGCUAAGAUGCCUGAGGAUAUGUUGUGCCUGAUGUGCAAACGUUUCUCGAAAUUCUCUUGCACAUGUCACAUACUCUUUUCAGUCCUUAGUUCAGUAUGAGCAUCAGAAAUUAUGCCUGUAAUUUUACUGAAAAAGGAUAUGCUAUCAAUUUCACAAUAAAGCUUCCAUGCUAACUGCUGUGUACAUUAACUUUUGUUUAAAAUAUCACCAAUGAGAAUCAGCACAUAGACCCAGAUACUUACCUCGUAUUAUCUUUCUCAUAAGAAUGGAUUUUAGCAGAUGGGUAGACCUAAAAAUGCGCUGUGGUAAACGCCUGGUUUUGUGAAAGAUUGUUUGUUCUAUAAAGUUGAAGUAGUUGUUAUUAGUCAUUUUACAUUUUUAGAGGAUGCCGUUUAGCAGACUGGCAUCAAGGCAGUCAAACAAAUUUAACUGACGUUUCUUGAAAACCAAGCACAUCAGCUGCCAAAGGUUAAAGUGAAGUAUAUUUAUCUGUGGAAAAUCAGAGGAGUCUGUUUUGAUGAACUAGAGCUUCUGCUUUUCUUCUGUAACUUUGGAUCAGGAAAGUAAUGGCUCUAACACACAGUCUCAGAAAAUGCUUCUGGUAGUCAGACAACCAUUUUCCCUGGAAAACGCAGCAAGUGACAUGUGUGCUCUUAUGGAAGUGCCUGGAGGAGAAUCCAAGAUCAUGCAGCUCUUAGGAAAUAGGAACUCCAGAGCUUGACCAGUUCAGCAUCUGCCUAGGGACAUAAAAGGUGUUUUCAGUUCUUCAUGUAAGAUUAUAGUCCCCGAUGACCCGGCUCUGUGCUCUGUGAACCUGCAAUGAGUAGGGCAAAGUUUAAACUUCUCUCCGUGAUUCUUCCUACCCUGUGUCUGCUUCACCUUUUGUUCCAGACUUUACUGUCUCGUGUCUUUUCAGAGUGUUUUUAAGGCAUCCAAAUUGAUGGCACCUAGGCAGGCUCAACUCCACUUCACUCAGAAUUUUACUCUGAACCCCAUUUAUUGGUAAUGCCUCGUAUAUAUUUGAUGUUCUGAAAAUGGUGAAAGAAAACAUGGUUUCAGUACUGAGGAAGGAGAAUGAAGUUUACAGAUGGAGAAGGAGCACUGGAGAUCCUGGAAUUGUCAUACAAGUAUUCAGCACAUUUUAGAUCCCAAAUUAAUAGCUGAUAAUCAAGUUACUUUAAUGUAUUCAGUUUCAGUAAACUUUAUUAAAUACUGUAAUAUUUCUAAAAUGCUAAACAAGUAAAGAAUGUUAUUCAGACAUCAGAUUUUUUCAGAGAGGAAAAUGACUCUUUCAGUGCAGAUAUUUCUGGUAACGUGGAAAAAAUAAAUAAAUCACAUUAUCAAUGGAAGAAAUAAAUUAUCCUAAAGGAACAUUUAAUCUUUCCUUUGUAUACACAAGGAAGGAAUCCAUACUGCUUUAAUCUGGGGUUGUGUUGGUUUCAGUUUUCUCCGGUGAUGGAUAAGGAUGUGAUUAUUUGUGACAAAUAUUAAUUUCUUGUAGGUAUUUUAUAUAAAAACACAGAAGUGACAAGAAGCAUAAUAGGCAUUCAGGCCAUGGGGGAAGUUUAAUCUGGUUUUGAACCACAUUUAGUUCAGUAGGAGUGCACUGCACUCAUUCCUGAAUGAGAUUUAGUUAUUUUGUGCACAGAUUAUGAUAUCACCACAAUAAGCAUGACAAAUGCUCCGGUUUGAGCAGGAAUCCUAUCUGAAUGUUAAAGAUCCCUUUCCAGGCAUUGCCUCUGGAUUUCUAAUCUCCUAACCCUGUUCAUUAUGAAAAAUACAUGAGACAUCAGCAUUUUAAUAAAGAAAUUGAAAGACCAGAAAGAAGGAAAAGCAUCCAAUUAAAGUUCCUGUGGGAAAAGGCUUCUUUCCUGUAAACACAUGGAAACACACAUGUGCACCCACAACCCUCCUUUCUCCGGUGCAAAGUUCUUCACUGUUUUUGGACUCUCUCUGGUACAAACUCUUAAUGGGAGACCUGACUGAUACUGUGUUUGAUCAGGUGCUCCUAGAAAGUGAUUACUGUACAGUCUCUGUAGGAUGGAUCGAGCAGGUGUAGUCUGAAAACCCUGAGUCCGGUUUAACAAAGUGAAAAGUGAAAAUACUUGCUGACAGAGAACGUUCUUUCACAGAAAGUGCAGAUAGAAAAUUAGGAGUUUUUUCGUCAGGUCUCAAAUGUAGGUAGCCCAGUCUUCUUACAGCUAAAGAAUGGUGAUUGCCUGUAGAGCUUUCCAGAGAAAUGAGGAGGUAGUGCAAAGAGAACAGAAAUACAUUUUGCACUUAAGUUCAAGAUAAUUGUUUUGUGUGAGGCAUUAUAUAUGACAUAAUUGACAUGUUAAAGCUCUCAAAUUGAUAUAAUAAGGCAUUCCUAAGACUUACAAUUAGUGAUUGUGGCCUUAAAAAGUCCUUGAUCUGAGCACACUUUCCAUUUCUUUUAGUACGCGUACCUACCUUGCUGAGAUUCUCCAUUAAUAUUUUUUUGUUGUUUUAAUUUUUAUAUUUUGUGAAAAUAUCCACUCGCUUCAGUCUGAAUUAGAGCUCUUAUUUUAAACCACUGUUGUUUCUUCACUGUAAUUUUAAAUACUUUGUGGCUUUUUCCUUGUGUGUAAUAGCUUGUCCUCAUGCAAUAGCUGUUUGUAACCAGGAGGUUCUACUGAAGUUAAAAAAAAUUAAUGAAAAUUUGAACUGGGAAACAGUUGCUGAUGGUUUGGAGUGCCAGUUGGACUGUGUUCGUUAUAGUCACUAGUUAUAAAACCAAACUUUUGUUAACAUAUUGCCAUUGAACAUUUUGUAAAAUUUCUCUCAAGAUCAGCUGCAUAAACCUAGUUGCCUUGUGUAAAAUUCAGCUCAGCCACCCAAAACUAUUUCUCUUUUGCUUAAUUCAUGUGCUACACAAAACAAUGCUUUUCCUUCUGUGAAGAUACUUUAAUUAACUAUUUGGUGAAAGAUAACUGCCUGAAUGCAAGGUGAUUCUAAUAGUUAGAAAAGUUUAACUGUAGUAUCUAUUUAGUAAUAAAGGUAAGCUUAUUGAUUAAGAAAAGACAGGUCUUUUAUAAUUGGAAGUAAUCUGUGUACUUCAUGUAAUCUAGCAGUAAUUGACUGUGCACCCACAGGGCUACUUAAGUUCAAAACCAAUUUGGUAAUCUUCCAAGUGGAAAUUACGAUAAAUUAAGGUCAUUUCUCCAAGGAAUGACGUAAACACUUAAGUAAUGGAGCUCCUCUCUUUAUGUUGAGUCACAUAAGGAAAAUUAGAGCCUGCUUAAUUACAUCUAUUGUUGAAUGUUUCGAUCAGGCAUUUAAAUACCUGCGGUGGGGCUCACAAUUACAUUUCUCCUCACUAAGCUGGAAAAAUUAAACCCCUAAGCAAUCAGGGCAGUCAUAUCUGUUCUGCACUAAAGGCAGUGGGAGAAAACAGGCUAACUAGUAAAGCUAUCAAAACAAAACAAAAAACACCAACAAAAAACACCAAAACAAAAACAAAGCAAAAAAACCCAAGGCCUAUAGAUUUGUUUCUUUUUUUCAUUUCACAUUAAAAUAUGUAUUGCUGUCUGUUAUAUGUUUACACAUUGCCAUCAGAAAAGCCAAUUAUCAGUUGCUCAGAGUAACUUAAGGUUUCUCUUUUAUUUUUUUCAAAAGGUAUGAAGGUGUAUAAUAGAUGGCCAAGUAGGCAUUUUCCCUUCUUGUUUCUUCAUAUCUCCAUGUCAUUUUGCAAGAUAUACUGUGUUUUCAAAAGAGAGGCUGAGCAGUGUGCAAUACUGUGUGGGACCACACAGCUGGAUUGUCUUUAGCCUUCUCUGAACUCCAAAAAUGAUCAUAUAUAAAUACUGUCAUUUUGUAGUGUGACUACAUGGAGAAACUCUUCUUCAUACUCAGAAUUUGCUCCUUGGCAUAUUUUAUUGAUGUUAUCUUUAAUCAAACAGAAAAGCUAUUCAGUGACAUGAAACCAGAUUUUUGGAAUUAAAUAUUUAAGCAGCUGAAGUCCUUGAUGUGCUUUUCAUGUUUCAGUUCUGGCAGCCUGACUCUGGCUUUUGAGUUUUGCACAGGCUUCCAGGGAGCAAUACUGCUCUGAGAAACAGGAUUCAGCUUGGGGGCACCCUGUGCCUUCUGUGAGAACAGACAUGAGACUUUUAGGGGGAUUCUUUGCUGUUCAGUUUACUCAUUAACCUACUUAGUUCUGCACUACACAAUCCCUCAUUUCCCUUCAUUAUUUAAGACAGCAAGAGCAGAAAAUACUUUCUCAUGGGUCUUGGAGAGGUAGAAAGGACAGACAGUACUGCACUGAGCAGAUAGGAAUGGACAUAUGGAGCAGGAUUUAUUUCAGGCCAUUAGGUCUUGUGAGCAAUAGACACUGAAUUAACAAAUGUGAAUUUCUUGGUUUUCGUGUUCAAACUUUUUGGCCUAUUCAGGUAAACUGAUAUGCAAUGAAUUGACUCAAGAAAUGCACAGGAGGGCUACAUUCAGAUGGAUUAGCUGAAAAAGCCUGUGCAAACUAUAGUUGAUGUUGACAAGUGAACUAUGGAGUCUGUAUUUUAUUGAAUUUUGUUCAGUUCAAUAAUGUAUGAAAAUGACAGGAGGAAAUGUAUUAAACUUAUACAAAUGGAUGUGACAGUCAUGCAUGAACAUUCUGGACAUAAAAAACUACUUAAUCAUCUUUCUUGGAUAAUAGCAUUUGAUGUUGUUCUCAGAAGUACUUUAAAUAUAAGUACAUACUAUUAAUAAAGCAAUAGAAUUGAAUAUUAACAGGAAUUUCAUGUAAGUUCAUGAAUAUGCAUCCAGGUGUCUUCUGCCUCUGGACUAGAUACCCAUGAUUUUCAUUGCCUGCCUAUGACCAUGGUCCUAUGUAGUCAAUUAAAAAAUCUGUUACAUAUAACAACAUAUGAAUAAGCCAAGACCUCCUACAUGACUACAAGUCUAUAUUGUUAUAAGGAACAUUCGAUUUUGUGCAGACAAGAUUGGAUAUUUCUGAACGGUAAUUAUGCUUUUGCAAUGCGUUAUAAUUGGAUGAAUGACAUGAAAAAUGUUUCCCUUCUUAUAUUUUGUGGAACCAGAACAGUGGUGGGUGAGAUAUAUUAACAGUAAAUAAAACCAAUGUAUCUUGCUUAUUUCACAUGGUAUUUUAUGUUUCACUGUAUAUUUAGACUUUGUGACUGUGUGAAUGAUACAAGUGACAAAGUGUUCACUUAUAAAAGGCACAUUCUUAUAAUAGUAAUGUUUAACAACUGAGUUAAAAUGGUUCUUAAAAUCUUCCUUAGCUCUGUACAAUAAGAAAACAAAACAAACAAAUAAAACAAGAAAAGAAGCAUUUCAACCUUGCUCAGCAAUUAAAAAUUUUAAAAAUAUUUGUACUCCUGGUAUAUGUCACUAUUAGUGCGUGAAAUAUGGGGUUUUCAGAAAAUGGAGGAAAAAAAAAAAAGACUAAAUCUAUUAAUUGUGCAAAGAUGAUAAAGGACUCUAAAUUUAAUUGAUCCUUGCUUAAGGGUUUGCAAAGUCACUCUCUAUUUUAUCUCAAUGGUAAGGUACCUGCUUCAUUGAAAGAAAAAAGGGGUUUGCCAUUGGCUUCAGCAGAAACUGGAUUUUUUCCCCAUAAAGUGCAAAGUAUUGUAGAGAUUUCAUUUAUUUUCUCAAUAGGGUACUUCUUAUAAGGAAUUAGAGAAGUUUCUCCAGAUCUGUACUCAAAUAAAUUUCACACACUCAGUAUUAAACACCGUUAUGACAUUCUGGGUCCCAGGAACUAAAUUCAUUUUUUAGAAGGAUUCAGCAAAAAUAUUCAAGUAACAGGAAUUUUAAAAUGCUGUGACUGUGUUUUGGAAUCCAUUUCAAAGACAGAUGGACUUUCUUCUUUUUAUAGCUUCAGCCGAGCUUCCCUUACCUGGCUGAGUGUUCCCACCUGUAUCCUGUAUCCACAGGGAUCCCUGUCUUGUGCCUCGUGUGGUUUUUACAUCAGAGGUGCUGGUUAGUGUGAAUCUCAGCAGUACGGACUGGCUGGCACCUGAGUAGAAAUGCAAAGAAACAUCAAUGUAUGUGUAAAAAAGGGUUUGAUUUAAGGUGCGUGUAAAGUAUUAAUACUUUUUAACUGAAAAAAUGUAUGGUCUUAAGGCAAGUUGGUUUACAAUUGAAAAGGCUGUGUUUUGUAUUUCUGCAUAGGAAGCAUGCAACAGUCUCCUCUAGCAGGCUGAUUUGAAAGCUCAGCUGAAUACAAUCAGAUUGUGGCUUUCUGAACAAUGAACUGUGCUUUGCUGUGAGUCUUUUUCCUAGCCAGAGAUAGAGAUGAGGAUGCUUGAACUUAACAAAAUGCUUUAUGGCAUGGCCAGUAGUCAUGCCUCAGUUCACCUGACUUGUAUUUCAGUAAGGAUUAGAAGGGCCUCUGUAAUGAUUACACAGAUUUUUCUGGGAAUGUUAAAGUAUAAACAAAUUAUUAGAAACCGUAUUUGCUUAUUACAUAUUGGUUGGCUGAGAACCAGUAUCAUAUAGUUGGUAUAGCUACAAAGUUGUAGAUAGUGAAGAUAAUUCUGCCAAUAAACUUAAGGAAAGUUUGGAAUACUUGUUCUACUUUUUCCCUCCUUUUAGUAUUUCACUAUUAAUCUACUCCUGCCAGAAGCAAGCUUCUGUGAAAACCCACCCUUUAGGACAGAUCUUUUCAGUUUUGAAAGGAAGCAGGCUGGGGGGGAAAUCUCAGAAAGAUCUUGAUACCCCUGCACACUCUGCAUAUCAUAAAGUGUACCUCACUUUAACCAUCUGUUAGUAUUUCUAUUACAACAGCAUCUCUAGAGCAUGUUUGAUCAGUGAUUCCUCUGUGCACCCUAUAGUACAACACAAUCAUACUAAUCCAAGAGCUUAUGAUCUUAAAGUUCUAGUCUGGUAAUGGAUGCCAGUAACCAAUGGAGCACAAAAACUCCUGAAGAACAGCCCAUAAUAGCCAAACUUAUGAACCUUUGAUUGUCAAAUUGUAAAAGCAACAAGCAGUACCAGCAGCAAUAGGGAAAAAUUUCAAGCUCCUUUUGUGAGUUUAUAGCAAGGAUCCAUUCAGCAGUGUCUAGUGUGCCAGCUUGCAGACUAGAGUCAGAGUACUUUAAGCAAUUUCAUUAUAAACCCUGCUAUUGAGAAAUUUAUAAGACUGCUAUAAAACUUCACUCAAGGCUGAUCGGUGCCAAAGAACAUUCCUUUUCCACUUAAAAGAUAACAUGUGGCUGCUGUUUGUAAAUGAUAGGGUUGCAAAAGUGGAGAGAGAGAGAUUUUCAAAGUCAUAAAUUGGGAUUGGACACCCAUUCUCUGUUUCUUGGAAUAUCAGUCAAUAAAUUCAAAACAAAAAAAGGUGAGGUAAAAAACUUUUACACAAUUCCUGUGUAGCAAAGCAUAAAUUUUGAUUAAUAGGAGGAAGCAAUGAUGGAAAUUUGCCUGCAUAAAUUUUUUCCCCUUCAACAGGCUAUUUUUUUCCAACUCUGUCUUUUAAAAUUAUAAUUAGAUUUUGGAUUAUGUUCUUCUGGUGAUUGAAACUUUAAAAGGACAAGUUGCUAGAGUUUCAAAAUUAUCUUCUAUCACUUCUCCUUCAUAUAAUUUUAUACCUGCCCAUAUUGUCAUUUUAACAGCUUCCUGCUGUGAUAAAUUGUAAUGACCAUCUGCCCAUGAUCACCUGUCAGCUAUAAAAUAUUGCAAUAUACAUUUUGAAAUUGGACAAAUUAAUCUUUGCAUGAUAGACUUUUCCACUGUCUUAUUUCUUAUAUACCUCUGUAAUAUUUCUUCUUCUAAAUUUGGCUGCCUUCUAAUUAAUAAACUUAAAUAAGAAAAGUUAGACAAAGGAAAUUAAAUUCCAAGUUGCUGAAGGACAAAGAGCUUGAGUAAUAUGCACAAAAAGUGUGACAAAUAGAGUUCCUGUUGCAUCUCUGUUCUUUAAGGAUUUACAGACAAUACAGGUGGUAACAUCCCUUAUUUUCUUUCUUCUUUAGUAUGUAUAGCAAGUAUGCAUGGUAUUAUUAACAAAAUAUAUUUGCUGAGUGUAGUUCAGCCUUUCUGUCAACUCACUAUGAUUUCUAGUAUGGUGUGGUUGGUCCUCGCUGACUUGGGUAUAAAAGCCUCCCUUAUAACCACUCCACUGCUGCUCCAAGAACAAUUUGUCUUACACUUUUGUAGCAUGUUCUUGACCCAGACAUACACACACACACACACAAAAAAAGGUAGCUCCAGUUAUGAACAAAAGGAAAAGGGGUUUCUGACCACUGCUCUAAAAUUAACAGCUGGAAAAUAACUCUCCUAACAACUUUGCCAUUUCUAACUUCUUUUCUCUGGUGCUUCCUUGUAUGCUGGAAGAUCAAGAGAAUCUAGUAAAAGGGAAUGAAGGCGGACAGAUCACCAGUAAAGUGCUCUAAGUCUUAGGAAUACAACUAGAGGACAGAAUGUUUUUGCAACUUAUCUCCAGCCUCCUGAGUCCUUGGGUUUUGUGGGAAUAGAUCAACUUCUGCUUACAGAAUACAGAGCAUCUACCUUCUCCCUCUAAAAUCCUCAGCCCCUGAAAGGGAAAAUUUCUUAUCUGGAGAAGAAACAAAUUUUGUCUAGAUCAGUAAAAUGUCUUAAAGCAUCUUUCAGUUGCAGUUAGCCAGAUCAAACUCAGAAUUAAAGACAACCAUAAGGAAUAAAAGAUAAAUAACAUUGUUGGAUUUUCAUUUAAAGGUGGUACACCAUUUCAUGCAUAUAUAUACAUGCAUACACCAAAAAAAAUAUAUCUAUGUAUACUGUGUGCAGUGGUGUUUUGUUGUGACAUAGAAAAUCUUUUCAUAGUAACAUAUGAUGGCAGGAUAUUUUCCUCCCCAUAUAUGACACAGCACUGAAAUAUGAGGUGUAUGAUUUUGUGGGAAAAUAACAGUUUUAACUAUAUUACAUGUUUAAAAUCCCAACUGAAUGUAAUAUAACUUUACUAGCUCUUUUCUCCUGAGGCAUCAACACCAUUUAUCACUACUACUGCCAUCUGGCAUGUCUGAACUAUCAUGAUCAGCAUUUUAUGUGGAAAUGAAAGCAUUCAAUAGGGUCUCUCUUCUCUAAAUCUCUGAGGUCAGAUAUAAUACUGCUAGAGGCAGUGAAGAUGCAUUUUUAUCACACACUUGAGAGACAUACAUUUGACGUAUUUUAUAGUUUUCUAUGUUAAGACCAGGCAAGCUUUUUUUUAUUUGCAAUGACCUGGCAUGGGGUCAUUUGCUGUAAUAACAAGCUAAGAUUAAUUCAAGUAAGUUUUGUUAUACUGCAGUGUUGAAAGUUUGGCACAUGCAGACAGAUGUUCGGCAGCUGAAAACCACAUUUCUAGUGCAUUUUUUGUGGAACUUAAGCAAUAGAGUCACUCUCCCAACUAGUUUCUCCUCAAGGAAAGGCUGCAUUUGCUUUGCUUAGCUGAGGUCUUUGUGAAGAGGUGUUAGUUGAUCUAUUUUUCCCCAUGAAGGAUUCAUGGAAUGUGGGCUGAUGACUAGUUAAGUGUACCUUCUAGUUUAGGUUUAAAUCUUCAAUUCCAGUGUGUAAAAAUAUAUGGCUGCUCCUUUUUACAUUGCAAAUUCAUGAGUCUCUGUCAAUUUCUAAGCCUCAGUAAUCCAUCAUGUGAGAAGCAGUGUUACCACAAAUAUGUUUUAUCAUCAGCUCCUUCACGGCCAUUUGUGAUAAUUUUGAGAUAGAUGAGGAAUUCUGGAAUAAAAUAAUUGAGUCUGUAACUCUCAUGGCUUCAUGAUUUUUGGUGGUUAGGUAAUAGUAUGUUAAGGCAAAAAAUCUUCCCAAAAUUGUCAUUUACUGAGAUCAAAGAACUCAGACUUGAUGUGUGGGUUCUCUGUCCUUAUUAAUUUUCAUUAAUUCUAAAUUAAAUCUACUGAGCAACAGGCAAAGGGUCCAGUUCUAAUACAAUAGCUAGUGCUUUAUUCUGCUAUUGAUCUUGUAUUACUGCAAAAAAAAGUAGCAUUUGAUACUGUGCUACACGAAGAAGACUAGAAUCUUCCUCUACAUUGUGUUUUAAAACUGUAAUCUCAUAAAUACAUCCAGAGGGCUAAAAAUUACUUGAUGGAAAAUGUAACUUAAAAAUCACACACCAUAUCAGUGAAAUUUGUUGGGUUUUAUUACCCUUGCAAAUUCCACGUUAGAUAGGUGCUAUCCUUUUGAAUAACAGAGCUACCUUAAUUUCUCUGUUUUUCAGAUGUUUCCUAAAUAAGAACCACCAGCAGUUACCUGCAAUUUACAGCAUAGUUGGAGUUGCACAUUUCCCCCCCACCACCUUUCCUUCGAUGUGGAAGGUGCACCCACAUCCCCCUCUCCCUCAACACAUCCCCUCUCUCCUUCUGUGGGGCAGUUAGUAGCUCCUUUUGUUUGCUGUUAGCCAGGAGAGGAGAGAGGCGCUGAGAAGUCGGGAAGUUUCUGGGUGCCCAUAGCCAGAGUUGGGGGGUGCAGAGAAGCCAAGAAGCUUCUGGAAUGCCCACAGCAAGAUCUGACAAGACUAUAAAAAUGGGGUGCCCACCAAGGAUCCCCUUCGUGUGGUCCUCUCGGAGCCAUGGGUCUGCCGAAGUCAAGAGCCCUCCUCUUAGACUGGGACACCAUCUAAGAGUCAGUAACCUCGACCAUGAGAUCACAUACUGAUGAAGGAACGACUGAAAGUAAUUAGCACCAGUGCCAAAAUCAAGUUCUACUUUUCCAGAAUAAUAGCUCAGGUAAAUUAUAAACUUAAUAUUAAGACAUAAGCCAAGUUACGUAAAUAUAUUAAUAGUUAAAUUGUAUCAGUAGAAAGCCUCCAACUAUCUUCAGCAUGCUUGCAUCAUUCAGAAACUCUUAUAAGUAAUUAAAAUAAUAAACAUGUACAAAAUGAGAGUCUUUGCACAUAAUUCAUGAAAGAGUUCCAAAAACUGAAAUAUAGCGAAUACAUUAUCUGUGAUUUCUCACUAACCUGAUUUUGAUGAUUGCAUAUUUAUCAUUGGUCCUUUUAGCAGUCUUUCCAGUUAUGGCCUUUGCGAUAAGUGUGACAGAUUAACAACACUUCGAAGUCAUUAAUUUUACUUUGAAAAUGAGGACUGUAUCUGUGUUGUAAGAUGAAUUUUAAACAAAUAUAAUUUUAAAAAUAUAAAUAUUUUCAAAUAAAGUAGAUGAGAUAUUUGUAUAAAAUGAAGUCUGGCUAGUAUACAUUCUUUGAUUUUUAUAGCUGAGGACUAAAUUUGGGUAAUCAUUUAAUGGGUCAUGAAAGUAAAGUGCUGAAGCUGCUCAUUUUACUCCUAUAACUAUUGAAAAUGAGAAUUCUAUUAAAGCUGUCUUAAUAUUGUCUCUAGCAUGGACUUUUAUUCAGAAACAUGUACGUACCCAUAGUUCUGUUAUAUAAUAUAUUUGAUGAAAGCUAGGGGAAAUCCCAUGGGCAAGAUUGCUUGAAGGUAAAGGGGCCCGAGAUCAUUGGUUAGCAUUCAGGGACUCCUACUAAGCUCAAGCUCAAAACAUCCCGACAUGUAUGAAGUCAAGGAAGGGAGCCAGGAGAGCUGCGUGGUUUAACAGGGAACUGCUCGGUAAGCUCAAGUGGAAGAGGAGAGAUUACAGAUCAUGGAAGGAGGGACUGGCCACUUGGGUAGAAUAUAAGGCUGUUGUCAGAGGGUGUAGGGAGACAACUAGGAAAGCUAAGGCCUCCUUAGAAUUAAACCUGGCAAGAAGGGUAAAGGACAACAGAAAGAGCUUUUUCAAAUACAUGGCAGAUAAAACUAACACCAGAGGCAAUGUAGGCCCACUGAUGAACAAGGUGGGUGCCCUGGUGGCAGAAGAUACAGAGAAGGCAGAGUUACUGAAUGCCUUCUUUGUCUCUGCCUAUUCUGCCGGAGGCUGUCCUGAGGAGCCCUGUACUGCUGUGGCCCCAGAGGAAGUCAGGACAAUGGAGGAGUGUGCCUUGGUUGAUGACGACUGGGUUACAGAGCAGUUAAGCAAUCUGUACAUCCAUAAAUCCAUGGGUCCAGAUCAGAUGCACCUGUGGGUGCUGAAGGAGCUGGCUGAGGUCAUUGCUAGGCCACUCACCAUCAUCUUUGCUAAGUCUUGGGAAAUGGGAGAGGUGCCUGAGGACUGGAGGAAAGCAAAUGUCACUCCAGUCUUCAAAAAGGGCAAGAAGGAGGACCCAGGUAACUACAGACCAGUCAGCCUCACCUCUAUCCCUGGGAAAGUGAUGGAACAACUUAGCCUUGGUGCCAUCUCAAGGCAUAUCAAGCAUAAGAGGGUCAUUAGGGGCAGUCAACAUGGCUUCACCAAGGGGAAGUCACGCUUGACCAACCUCACUGCCUUUUUUGAGGACAUAAAAAGGUGGCAGAGCGGUGGAUGUGGUCUAUCUUGAUUUCAGUAAAGAAUUUGACAUAGACUCCCACAGCAUCCUUACAGCUAAACCCAGGGAGCAUGGUCUAGAUGAUCAGGUAGGGAGGUGGACUGUGAACUGGCUAAAGGAAAGAAGCCAGAGAAUUGUGGUCAGUGGGGCAGAGUCUAGUUGGAGGCCUGUAUCUAGUGGAGUGCCGCAAGGGUCAGUACUGGGGCCUAUAUUAUUCAAUAUAUUCAUCAAUUAUUUGGAUGAGGGAAUAGAGUGUGCUAGCAGCAAGUUUGCUGGUGACACCAUACUGGGAGGAGUGGCUGACACACCAGAAGGCUGUGCUGCCAUCCAGCGAGACCUGGACAGGCUGGAGAGUUGGGUGGAGAAAAAUUUAAUGAAAUGUAACAUGGGCAAGUGUAGAGUAUUGCAUCUGGGCAGGAACAACCCCAGAUUCUAGUAUAAGUUGGGGAACGAACUAUAAAAGAGCAGUAUAGGGAAAAGGGACCUGGUGGUCCUGGUGGACAGCAGGAUGACCAUGAGCCAGUACUGAGCCCUUGAGGCCAGGAAGGCCUAUGGCAUCACGGGCUGUAUUACAAGAGGGGUGGUUAGUAGGUCAAGAGAGGUUCUCCUUCCCCUCU
Molecule: long non-coding RNA, 19346 nt
Organism: Columba livia (rock pigeon)
Lineage: Eukaryota; Metazoa; Chordata; Aves; Columbiformes; Columbidae
Exons: 11
Source: RefSeq, a predicted model, not a curated record